This 433-nucleotide ribosomal RNA is filed under the name uncultured bacterium. Its description in RNAcentral is "partial 16S ribosomal RNA". It matches the Rfam family "Bacterial small subunit ribosomal RNA", at positions 29 to 507 of the family's 1533-position model. The record is from RNAcentral.
AACGAACGCUGGCGGCAUGCCUAACACAUGCAAGUCGAACGAGACCUUCGGGUCUAGUGGCGCACGGGUGCGUAACGCGUGGGAACCUGCCCUUAGGUUCGGAAUAACUCCCCGAAAGGGGUGCUAAUACCGGAUAAUGUCUUCGGACCAAAGAUUUAUCGCCUUUGGAUGGGCCCGCGUUGGAUUAGCUAGUUGGUAGGGUAAAAGCCUACCAAGGCGACGAUCCAUAGCUGGUCCGAGAGGAUGGUCAGCCACACUGGGACUGAGACACGGCCCAGACUCCUACGGGAGGCAGGAAUGGGUGAUAUUGGACAAUGGGGGGAAGCCUGAUGCAGCAAGGCCGCGUGAGUGAUGAAGGCCGUAGGGUUGUAAAGCUCUUUUACCCGGGAUGAUAAUGACAGUACCGGGAGAAUAAGCUCCGGCUAACUCCGUG